This 1379-nucleotide long non-coding RNA is filed under the name Homo sapiens (human). Its description in RNAcentral is "HSALNT0319340". Lineage: Eukaryota; Metazoa; Chordata; Mammalia; Primates; Hominidae. The record is from RNAcentral.
UUUUCAAAUGCAAUCAAGGCUUCCUAUAUACGGGCGGAAAGGCGGCUUCCUCCGCUGAGAAAGCUGAAGGUCCUUACCUGCGGCGUACGGACUGCUCUGGUGGUCCCUGAGGGUGCCCAGGCUGCAGGAUCCCGGCGUGAGGGAAGGGCAGCCGGACGUGGCCCCAAAAGUGGUCCUUAUCGGGUUAUACUGGAAGCCACUGGCCUGGCUGCAGGAACUGAAGUCAGCAUAGGCUGAAGCCAGGCUCGAGGUGUCCAUCCCAGCCAUACAGGACUCGUAGGCAGAGGAAUUGAGGGUUCUCACAACCAAUUGAAAGAGAAUAAAACAUUCUCUUGCUUCAUAACCAAAGUGCUGCUCACACUUACAGCAACCUUUGGAAGGGGAAUCCUGGCUAUUGAUGUCCCUGGAAAGAGAGUGGUAGAAGAAAAGAAAUUGAAGACAUGGAAGAAAGAUGAAAACGCUGGCUACUAAAUACCUAUGUGUGGUUACUGAGUGUGGUAUACUUGGACACCGAGCUCCCCCACCCAUCAGAUGUCACAAAGAGUCCUCUUACUCUUGGAUAAUUUCAAAUCAAACUGACCUCCCCAGAGCUCAGCUUACAAGGCUUGAAGUGGUUACAGUCUUCCCCAGCAUCAGAAGCCAAAACUCUACUGCCAGAGGCACCCAGCCAUAUGAAGCCUCCUACAAGUCUCCAUCCUUGCUUAAAACUACCUUUAUGAUAAUCCACAGGAGCCUCUUGCUUCAAUCAUAAAUUAUACAUUUCUAGGAAUGCUGCUUUUCUCUUCAUUGACUACCAUUUCCAGGAAAGAAGGGUUUUUUUUUCUUUUACUGUACUCAGUGGAAGUCUUUCUGCUGACAUAGUCCAUAAUUAAAAAUCAAAGUAAUAAAGUGACAUUCUCAAAUUUGAAUACUGGGUACAAAAGCUUAAUUGCCAGUCCUUCUUGCCAAACAGCCCAGUGGCUCCAACAUUAAGUCACAGAGACUUUCAAGAGAGUGAUUUGAUAGAACUUUAAAAGGGCACACGUUUAAUUUUAUUAGAACAAGUUUUAGAACCUUAAGACAAACUGCAAAUACUGAAUUACAAUUUUUUUUCACAUUUUAUUUAUUGGGAAGUUAUUUAACAACUGUAACUGAUAUCCAAGUGGAUAUAUAACUAUUCAAGGGCCUACACCAAUAGGGAAUGUCAUUAAAGUUGUCUAGGCUUAAGGUGCUUGUUUCCAGGAGGACAUAUGAAAGUGAAGAUGCUGCAGAACCAUUGAGCACCCCAAGUGACUAGUGAACACCCAGUGUCUGACUUCAUAAGAGACAGCAAUUAUUUAUACUAAUGAAUUAUGACUCUUCACAGAACAAAGUUGCCUCAAGUCAGCUUACUUUACAUC